RNAcentral lists this ribosomal RNA (433 nucleotides) under uncultured bacterium. Its description in RNAcentral is "partial 16S ribosomal RNA". It matches the Rfam family "Bacterial small subunit ribosomal RNA", at positions 29 to 507 of the family's 1533-position model. The record is from RNAcentral.
AACGAACGCUGGCGGCAUGCCUAACACAUGCAAGUCGAACGAGACCUUCGGGUCUAGUGGCGCACGGGUGCGUAACGCGUGGGAACCUGCCCUUAGGUUCGGAAUAACUCCCCGAAAGGGGUGCUAAUACCGGAUAAUGUCUUCGGACCAAAGAUUUAUCGCCUUUGGAUGGGCCCGCGUUGGAUUAGCUAGUUGGUAGGGUAAAAGCCUACCAAGGCGACGAUCCAUAGCUGGUCUGAGAGGAUGAUCAGCCACACUGGGACUGAGACACGGCCCAGACUCCUACGGGAGGCAGCAGUGGGGUAUAUUGGACAAUGGGCGAAAGCCUGAUCCAGCAAUGCCGCGUGAGUGAAGAAGGCCUUAGGGUUGUAAAGCUCUUUUACCCGGGAUGAUAAUGACAGUACCGGGAGAAUAAGCUCCGGCUAACUCCGUG